RNAcentral lists this ribosomal RNA (467 nucleotides) under uncultured bacterium. RNAcentral's name for it is "bacterial SSU rRNA". It matches the Rfam family "Bacterial small subunit ribosomal RNA", at positions 329 to 793 of the family's 1533-position model. The record is from RNAcentral.
UCCCAGACUCCUACGGGAGGCAGCAGUGAGGAAUAUUGGUCAAUGGGCUUACGCCUGAACCAGCCAAGUCGCGUGAGGGAAGACUGCCCUAUGGGUUGUAAACCUCUUUUGUCAGGGAGCAAUUGGCGCUACGUGUAGCGUUAUCGAGAGUACCUGAAGAAAAAGCAUCGGCUAACUCCGUGCCAGCAGCCGCGGUAAUACGGAGGAUGCGAGCGUUAUCCGGAUUUAUUGGGUUUAAAGGGUGCGCAGGCGGAGGUGCAAGUCAGCGGUCAAAUUGCGGGGCUCAACCCCGUACUGCCGUUGAAACUGCAUCCCUUGAGUGCGCGAGAAGUAUGCGGAAUGCGUGGUGUAGCGGUGAAAUGCAUAGAUAUCACGCAGAACUCCGAUUGCGAAGGCAGCAUACCGGCGCCCAACUGACGCUGAAGCACGAAAGCGUGGGUAUCGAACAGGAUUAGAUACCCGCGUAC